Papaver somniferum (opium poppy) is the source of this 2406-nucleotide RNA transcript. RefSeq lists it as uncharacterized. The transcript is spliced from 8 exons. NCBI's taxonomy places the organism in Eukaryota, Viridiplantae, Streptophyta, Magnoliopsida, Ranunculales, Papaveraceae. The record is from RefSeq and is a predicted model, not a curated record.
AAAAUCAGUGAGCAGAAACUCUCGUCCCUCUCUCCCACCAUCGUCGCAAAUCUCAUCCUCAUUUGAAGGCACGCAGGAAGGCAGCCAGACCAGGAAGUAGAAAGAUCAGAUGGCACUAAAAAUGCUAUCCCAGAGGUUUUUUUCCAAGGGCACCGGAGGAGUUGUUACCAAUACUGGAGGACGAACUGAGACCAGCAAAAAUGCAACAAUGUUAUUUCAUUAUUGGAUUUUGAUUUGGAUUUUGAUUUGUUCAUCUUUUAACAACUAGUCAAAACAGACCUUCUUACUUGUAGUGUUCAAAAAUCUAUCAGAUUACGGAUGAAAAAUUGCGAAGUCUUUGUGAACGCGUUGAGCAGGCUACUGCGGAAGCAAAGCAAUUCUGCGAAGAAUGCGAUGCUAUCUUUGUAAGCCCCUUCCUUCCAUCCCUAUCUUUAUUUCCUUUUGCUCUUUCUACUCCGUGUAUGCCUAUUAAAGGAUUGAUCAGCUAAUUUACCCAUGUGCAAUGCUACAAGAAUUAUUGAUGUCACUUUAAAUUGCACUACUCUGCACUGAUUAUUAUUAUUAUUAUUAUGUUUCUUUUGCAUGCCCUAAAAACGGCAUUCCCCUGGGAUCGAGUCAUAUGGGCAUCGGUCCUUUUCGGCGUUGGUGUCAACGCAGUUCAGCAGUUUCAAGAAAUCGUGAAAAGGAGAAAUGCCAUCGAAGAUAACAAGAACCAGUUGUCAGCUCUUCGUAAUGCCAUCAAAGAUAAACAAUCCCCUCGUCUCAAGUGUUACGAGCGCCAGCUUUAUCAGCAUAAGAUAUGAGUGCUAAGUUAUCUCUUCGUACUUUUGUACCUGGAGAAUAUUUAAUUUCUCAGGCAUGAGCUUACUUUAAGUUAUGUCAGUUUACUAUUAUUAGCUAGGUGAAGUAUUCACCGGAACCUCUGACUGUAUAAGUUUCCUGAUAUGAGCGCCAGCUUUGUCAGUUUACUAUCAGUUUACCAUACUUUCACUUAUUAAUAUUUCUAGGCCCAGACCUUUAGAUUCCAGGGCUUGGUAAUAAAGUUUAGGGUUUGGGGGAAAUUCAUAAUACCAAAAAUGUUUGUUACUAUAUAUACCUAAUGAAAUAGGCUAUAGGUAUCAUUUCCAGAUUCAUUUUCGCUUUCACUUUCUCUCACUUCUCUCUCUUCUCUGCUCCAAAGAAAAUUAGGGUUCUUUCAUAUACAAACCGAAGAAAACAAUUGCAGAGAGCAAGAAAACGAUUCUCGCUCCAUCGAUCUUCACUGAUGACGUUUACGUAUUACAGAAGAACGAAAGCAAUCAUUCAUGUUUGGUUUUAGAUUGAAUCUCAGAUCAGAGCUUCAACGAUUCUUUUAGGGUUUUCUUUCUUCCAUAUCACUUACUAUCGAAUCUCUUUAUUUUUCAGUUGAUUCGAAGAUAUCUCACGUAUUGAUUGAAUUAUUCUAGUUUUCAUUCGAUUUGAUUCAAACAGGUUUAACAUCUGAUCCUCAAUCUACAAGUUCGAAUCAAUCAAUUGACUCUAAUUUGUUGUUUUGAAGUUAUUCCAGGUUUUGGAGGAGUAUGAAGAGGCUGUGGUGGUUGAGGUGGUGGUAUUGGAGCAGGUUUGAAGGAGGAUUUUGAAGUCAGUGGUGGUGUUUUAAUUGAUAAAUUGAAGGAGAUGGUGAGAUGAUAGAGGAUGAACUAUCUUAAGUUUCUACUGUUGGUGCUAGUGGUCACAGUUUUGAAAAGAUGAUAAUUACAUUGCAUGCUGGGGUAGAGUAUGUCGGAGUUCCUGUAAAGAACUGGGUGCUUAUUACUGGAGGCCAAUCAGGGUAUGACAACUCGCUUGGGUGAGAGGGGAAUUGCACUAGAUGUGACUGAUGCUGCAUUGGACAUUGUACUAAAUGAAAGCUACGGUCCGAAGUUGCAAAAUCUUCUUUGUCGAUUUUACAAGUAUAUGGCGCUAGGCUAAUUAGGAGGUGACUAGAGAAGAAGGUGGUGACAGAGUUGUCAAAGAUGCUUCUAAGAGAGGAUAUCGAUGAGAACUCUACCGUGUAUAUUGAUGCAAGUCUAGGUGAAGCUGAAAUUACUUAUCGAGUGGAAAAAAAUGGUGGAUUGGUGAAUGCCAACAUUAAAAUUACGCUUGAUACUACUGCAAGCUUUACUGCAGGAAUCAGUGGUUUGAACAUUAUACACUUGGUAAUCAUGCUUAUGUUCUUGCUUUUAUUGGUUCGUGUGAAGAAUUCCAAUAUGGAUGUGUAACUCCUAGUUACACAGUUGCAUGGGUCUCGCUGGAACUGGAGUUGACGCUGAACAUACAAGUCAGACGCAUGUGUAACUCUUAAUUACACUAGAUAAAUGCAUAUCUAAUUCUCAGUUACACUAGACAGAUGUGUGUGUAACUUCUAGUUACACGUGCUAAAAAUUA